GACAGAGGGUGCAAACGUUGUUCGGAAUUACUGGGCGUAAAGGGCGCGUAGGCGGCCUGCUAAGUCGAACGUGAAAUCCCCGGGCUCAACCCGGGAACUGCGUCCGAUACUGGCAGGCUUGAAUCCGGGAGAGGGAUGCGGAAUUCCAGGUGUAGCGGUGAAAUGCGUAGAUAUCUGGAGGAACACCGGUGGCGAAGGCGGCAUCCUGGACCGGCAUUGACGCUGAGGCGCGAAAGCCAGGGGAGCAAACGGG
This 253-nucleotide ribosomal RNA is filed under the name uncultured bacterium. Its description in RNAcentral is "partial 16S ribosomal RNA". It matches the Rfam family "Bacterial small subunit ribosomal RNA", at positions 524 to 776 of the family's 1533-position model. The record is from RNAcentral.